This 497-nucleotide ribosomal RNA is filed under the name uncultured bacterium. RNAcentral's name for it is "partial 16S ribosomal RNA". It matches the Rfam family "Bacterial small subunit ribosomal RNA", at positions 28 to 507 of the family's 1533-position model. The record is from RNAcentral.
GACGAACGCUGGCGGCGUGCCUAAUACAUGCAAGUUGAGCGAUGAAGAUUGGUGCUUGCACCAAUUUGAAGAGCAGCGAACGGGUGAGUAACGCGUGGGGAAUCUGCCUUUGAGCGGGGGACAACAUUUGGAAACGAAUGCUAAUACCGCAUAACAACUUUAAACAUAAGUUUUAAGUUUGAAAGAUGCAAUUGCAUCACUCAAAGAUGAUCCCGCGUUGUAUUAGCUAGUUGGUGAGGUAAAGGCUCACCAAGGCGAUGAUACAUAGCCGACCUGAGAGGGUGAUCGGCCACAUUGGGACUGGGACACGGCCCAAACUCCUACGGGAGGCAGCAGUAGGGAAUCUUCGGCCAUGGACGAAAGUCUGACCGAGCAACGCCGCGUGAGUGAAGAAGGGUUUCGGAUCGUAAAACUCUGUUGGUAGAGAAGAACGUUGGUGAGAGUGGAAAGCUCAUCAAGUGACGGUAACUACCCAGAAAGGGACGGCUAACUACGUG